RNAcentral lists this transfer RNA (74 nucleotides) under Myxococcaceae bacterium. RNAcentral describes it as "tRNA-Val". It matches the Rfam family "tRNA". Rfam says of the family: Transfer RNA (tRNA) molecules are approximately 80 nucleotides in length. Their secondary structure includes four short double-helical elements and three loops (D, anti-codon, and T loops). Lineage: Bacteria; Pseudomonadati; Myxococcota; Myxococcia; Myxococcales; Myxococcaceae. The record is from RNAcentral.
GGGCGCGUAGCUCAGCCGGGAGAGCACCUCGCUUACACCGAGGGGGUCGGCGGUUCGAACCCGUCCGCGCCCAC